Molecule: ribosomal RNA, 618 nt
Filed under: Triticum aestivum (bread wheat)
Lineage: Eukaryota; Viridiplantae; Streptophyta; Magnoliopsida; Poales; Poaceae
Description: partial small subunit ribosomal RNA
Source: RNAcentral
AUGCCAAGGAUCUCGUCAACGGUGGGGAUCACUGGGCAAGACAAAAAUAAGCGGAUGUCAUCAUCUUUCAGCCGAACCAUGCCUGGGGCGGCGACAGACGCAGGCUCGGGCUUCGACUCUUCCACGAUCCUGUCGAUCGCCUCCUCCAAUUGCUUUGAUGUCAACGCUUUCGACUCAGGGAAGGUUAGCAGCGUCUCCUUGAUUCUUUUCCUUAGAGCUUCGCCGUCUUCCGGGAUGAGGUCCAGGGUGAGUAGGCCCGCCCAAUCGGCCGCCCUCGGCAGCCCCAGGAACAUGUCCGACGCCCCCGCAUGCGCCGGGAACAUGUUCAACGCCUCGCAUGCCCCGGCCGACUUCCUUUUGAGAGGGCAUGCCCUCAACGGACCAUCCUCGCCGGUCACUGCAUCCUCCGGCGCGUUGGUGGUGAGCGAAAAAGUGCCCUUCUCGACGGUCGCUGCGUCCUCCACCGGACUAGGUUUGGUGGUGGAGCACGGCCUCAGCGCAAAAACGCCGUUUUCGCCCGUCGUCGCCGCCUCCAUCGCCAUAUGUUUGGCGGUGGCGCACGGCGUCAACGAAAAAGCCCCCUUUUCGCCGGUCACCGCCUCCUCUACCAGCAUGUGA